This 427-nucleotide ribosomal RNA is filed under the name uncultured Burkholderiales bacterium. Its description in RNAcentral is "bacterial SSU rRNA". It matches the Rfam family "Bacterial small subunit ribosomal RNA", at positions 356 to 774 of the family's 1533-position model. The record is from RNAcentral. Lineage: Bacteria; Pseudomonadati; Pseudomonadota; Betaproteobacteria; Burkholderiales.
GGGGAAUUUUGGACAAUGGGCGAAAGCCUGAUCCAGCAAUGCCGCGUGCAGGAUGAAGGCCUUCGGGUUGUAAACUGCUUUUGUACGGAACGAAAAGGCUCUGCGCUAAUACCGCGGGCUAAUGACGGUACCCGAAGAAUAAGCACCGGCUAACUACGUGCCAGCAGCCGCGGUAAUACGUAGGGUGCAAGCGUUAAUCGGAAUUACUGGGCGUAAAGCGUGCGCAGGCGGCUUUGCAAGACAGAUGUGAAAUCCCCGGGCUCAACCUGGGAACUGCAUUUGUGACUGCAUGGCUGGAGUGCGGCAGAGGGGGAUGGAAUUCCGCGUGUAGCAGUGAAAUGCGUAGAUAUGCGGAGGAACACCGAUGGCGAAGGCAAUCCCCUGGGCCUGCACUGACGCUCAUGCACGAAAGCGUGGGGAGCAAACA